AUCCAGCUGACGAGUCCGAAAUAGGAUGUAACACGCAUCCUGGAU
Molecule: non-coding RNA, 45 nt
Organism: Schistosoma curassoni
Lineage: Eukaryota; Metazoa; Platyhelminthes; Trematoda; Strigeidida; Schistosomatidae
Source: Rfam